This 1033-nucleotide long non-coding RNA is filed under the name Marmota monax (woodchuck). Lineage: Eukaryota; Metazoa; Chordata; Mammalia; Rodentia; Sciuridae. The record is from RNAcentral.
CAAGGUCGAUCAACAACUACUUUUUUUGGAUCCAUAAGAAGCUUGUGAGAAAGCCACUUAGGAGCAGUCAGACGUAUUGACACUUUCUGAAGAAAAAGGAGAGAUGAUGCUACUCUUCACACCAGGGUUGAUCAUAUGAAUGCAAUUGUCACGUGAGUUCAACACUCCAUGGCUGCUUCCAGAAAACCUGAUAUAAUAGAAAAUUAUCUGCAAUCAGAGAAUGGGUUUUCUGUUCCUGUUUGAGGAAAAAGAAUUAAAUGAAAGGAUAAGGGGAAGGGGAGAGCAAAGGAAAGAAGGAGGGAAAUUGUCAAGAAUAGGAGAGACGUUGUAGCUGGGGGAAUAGUGAUUUAAUCUCAUUUUAUCUGAUGCUUCCCAUUGUUGUUUUUUUUUUUUUAACAGAAGUGAAUGGAGAACAGCUAAAGCAAAUUCCUCCAUCCCUGCACAUACAGGAAGGAGAAGACUUCAUCAUAUACUGCAACUACUCAAGCACAAUCGACAGUUUACAGUGGUACAAGCAGAAGCCUGGGGGAAGUCCUGUCUUCUUGAUGAUAAUAGUGAAGGAUGGAGAUGUGAAGAAGCAGGGAAGACUGACAGCUCAACUUGGAAAAACAAGAAAGGACAGCUCCCUGCACAUCGUGGCCACCCAGGCGAUAGAUGUGGGAACCUACUUUUGCGCAGUGACACAGUGCUCCCCCAACACCUGCUGCCUGUCCGCAAACCUUUCCCAGGGGCUUCUGGAGCAGCUUCUCUUCUCCCCACUCAGGAGGCAGAGAAAGCUGAAGUUGCACUGUCUGCAAAGAACCAGUACCACUCUUCCUUGUGGUAGUAGGAAUGCAUGCAGAAAUUCACUCUGUAAGGCAUGGAGAAGUUUGAUGGUUUGAUUUUCUAAAAUUAUCAGUGAAUGAAUGCAUAAAGAAAUUGUAGAGCUUGAUUACAUGUGGCACAAUAUUAUUCAGUAAUAAAAAUGGAUGAAAUAUUGUCAUUUACAGCAAUAUGAAUGGAACUUGAAUGUGUUAGGUGAAAUAAGACAGAC